RNAcentral lists this ribosomal RNA (497 nucleotides) under uncultured bacterium. Its description in RNAcentral is "partial 16S ribosomal RNA". It matches the Rfam family "Bacterial small subunit ribosomal RNA", at positions 28 to 507 of the family's 1533-position model. The record is from RNAcentral.
GAUGAACGCUGGCGGCGUGCCUAAUACAUGCAAGUCGAGCGAACAGACGAGUAGCUUGCUCCUCUGACGUUAGCGGCGGACGGGUGAGUAACACGUGGGUAACCUACCUAUAAGACUGGGAUAACUUCGGGAAACCGGAGCUAAUACCGGAUAAUAUAUUGAACCGCAUGGUUCAAUAGUGAAAGACGGUUUUGCUGUCACUUAUAGAUGGAUCCGCGCCGCAUUAGCUAGUUGGUAAGGUAACGGCUUACCAAGGCGACGAUGCGUAGCCGACCUGAGAGGGUGAUCGGCCACACUGGAACUGAGACACGGUCCAGACUCCUACGGGAGGCAGCAGUAGGGAAUCUUCCGCAAUGGGCGAAAGCCUGACGGAGCAACGCCGCGUGAGUGAUGAAGGUCUUCGGAUCGUAAAACUCUGUUAUUAGGGAAGAACAAAUGUGUAAGUAACUAUGCACGUCUUGACGGUACCUAAUCAGAAAGCCACGGCUAACUACGUG